Molecule: ribosomal RNA, 458 nt
Filed under: uncultured bacterium
Lineage: Bacteria
Description: partial 16S ribosomal RNA
Rfam family: Bacterial small subunit ribosomal RNA
Source: RNAcentral
CCUACGGGUGGCAGCAGUGAGGAAUAUUGGUCAAUGGGCGAGAGCCUGAACCAGCCAAGUCGCGUGAGGGAAGACGGUCCUAUGGAUUGUAAACCUCUUUUGCCGGGGAGCAAAAAGCGGUACGUGUACCGCAUCGAGAGUACCCGGAGAAAAAGCAUCGGCUAACUCCGUGCCAGCAGCCGCGGUAAUACGGAGGAUGCGAGCGUUAUCCGGAUUUAUUGGGUUUAAAGGGUGCGCAGGCGGCGAGUUAAGUCAGCGGUAAAAUUUCGGGGCUCAACCCCGACGAGCCGUUGAAACUGGCUUGCUAGAGUGGGCGAGAAGUAUGCGGAAUGCGUGGUGUAGGAGUGAAAUCCGUAGAUAUCAGGAGAAACAUCAGUGGCGAAGGCGGCCGCCUGGCACAAAACUGACGCUGAGGUGCGAAAGCGUGGGUAGCAAACAGGAUUAGAUACCCUAGAGUC